CAUGGAUAAAUGCUUCCCACUCCCUGAAGGUCCUUCGUGGCAGAGAGGAGCUUGGGGAAUGAGGACUUGGGGUAGGGAAGAACAAGACAGAGCCAGGGACUGAAAGUUAAGGGUCCAGGAACAAGACCACUCAUACUUGGAUCCUUGGGGUCCUCAUUUGGAAGUAGGGGGAAUCAUUGCCCUGGCUGAGGUGAGGAUGCCUUCUGAGAAAACUAGACACCCCAGAGGGGAGUGGCAAAGAGGGCGGCAGGAGUGUCUUCUGAGGUCCCUUCCACAGCCCUGAAAUCCUUCAGGGCCUGCUGUUUUACUCCUGGGACUCCGGAGAGCCUUUGCCUUGAGGUCACCCAAAGAAAGAUUCCUGCCUGGGGCUGCAGUGCUAGUGCUGGCCACCAGGGGACAGGCAGCCUCCUGGUUCAUGGUGCCCACUGAGCUUUGCUGGAGCAAUUGGGGCAGGAAGAGCCAUGCAGAAUGUCAUUUCGGCCACGCCUCUGCUUCAGAAACAAUAUGCACCUCCUACGAUUAGUGAUCAUUUCUACAGAAUGAGCUGGGCAGAGGCAGGAAGAAGAGCUCCAAGAUCUCCCCAUUUAUUUAUUUAUUCGGAGAUUUAUUUAUUUAUUUAUUCCGAGAUUAUGGCUCACCCUGUGCCAGGUGCCAAAUGGUCUCUCUCUUCCAGGAGCUUUCAGUCUGGAGGAGAGAAGGACAAAAGCACAGAAGCAAGACAUGUGAAAGAAAAGAAGCUCCACCCAGGACAUUGUCAAGGAGCUGGUUGAUGGGUUCAACUCCUCCAUCUCACUAGACAAGGGGCAGAUGCAUCUGGCGAUGAACAAUGGCCAACACUGGUCUGGGGUUUCUAUUUUGUCCCUUAUUUCUCGGCAUUAGUUUUAACUGAAGGCUCAAUUCCUAGCCUGAUGUCAGCAAAAUGGUGGAAUAAGCUCUUCCACCACUUAUCCCGUUGUGGAAACUUCAAUUCGAAUAAUGAUCCACUCAUGAAAAUAUCUUCACAAGAGCCAAAGAUUCCAGGUCACCAAGCUCUACAGAGGCAGCCAGCUAUGAGACAUAUUCCGCUCCUGCCGGUCACCGGCUUGAGGUAAGUUGAGAAGACUGGAAGCACUGCCUGAGCUGGAAGCUGGUGGCUCUGAGCUCCCGUGUCAAAUCCUUCAUCUAAAAGUCACUGACACUUGGCCCACUCUCUCCCAUAUCCCUGCCAGCGAAUCCUACCAUCUCCUUCCAUGGGUUUCAGGGGGUGGGAAAAGCAUUAACCUCAUGGGGCCACCAACCCCCAGCACCCACCUCCUUCUCCUCUUCUGGACACUUGCAACGAAUAUCAGCCCAAUAAUAACACUGACCACGGCCAA
This is a long non-coding RNA of Diceros bicornis minor, 1355 nucleotides long. RefSeq lists it as uncharacterized. NCBI's taxonomy places the organism in Eukaryota, Metazoa, Chordata, Mammalia, Perissodactyla, Rhinocerotidae. The record is from RefSeq and is a predicted model, not a curated record. The transcript has 4 exons.